AUGUGGUUCAGUGGCGUUUCACGGGGUUUUUAUGGUCACCCGAAAUGGAAUGAACAUCAUCUACCUUGGAAUGAUAUUGAAAACCUACAUAGUAAGGGUAACCACCCCUGGGUAGUUUUGGGGAAUUUUAAUGAAAUUUUAUAUCCUUCGGAAAAAGAGGGCGGUAUGGCAAGACCACUUGGUAUGAUGAGAGAUUUCCGUGAAUGCCUAAUGGAUUGUGGGCUCGACGACCUAGGCUAUACCGGUGACCUUUUCACCUGGAGGAGAGGCGAAAUACGUGAGCGUCUUGAUCGGGCGGUCUGUAAUUUAGCGUGGGCAAAUAAAUUCACACGAGCGGCAGUGAUCAACGAAGAACAUGUUCAUUCUGACCACCGCCCAAUUGUACUGGACAUGGAUUAUUUGGAUAAAAAGGUCUUUAAUCAACCAGAGGGGCGUGUUAAACAACCUGAGGCAAGGUGGUUGAAGGAAGAGACAAUCACUGAAAUUGUUAAGGCAUCCUGGGAGAAAGCCAAGCUCGCAUGUAUUGGACCUUCACUUGCUGAUCGUACGAGAGCAGUGCAUGCCGAUCUGCAUACUUGGGAUCGGGAAAUUCUAAAGGGACCGAAGGUAAGAAUUAGGAAAUUAAAAAAAGAAUUAGAAAGAUUAAGGCAUGGCCCACUGAAUACAGAAUCUUGA
This 675-nucleotide ribosomal RNA is filed under the name Triticum aestivum (bread wheat). RNAcentral's name for it is "partial small subunit ribosomal RNA". Lineage: Eukaryota; Viridiplantae; Streptophyta; Magnoliopsida; Poales; Poaceae. The record is from RNAcentral.